RNAcentral lists this unclassified non-coding RNA (311 nucleotides) under plant metagenome. Its description in RNAcentral is "partial contains 5.8S ribosomal RNA, internal transcribed spacer 2, and large subunit ribosomal RNA". The stretch from base 1 to 105 matches the Rfam family "5.8S ribosomal RNA", at positions 50 to 154 of the family's 154-position model. The record is from RNAcentral.
GAAAUGCGAUAAGUAGUGUGAAUUGCAGAAUUCAGUGAAUCAUCGAAUCUUUGAACGCACAUUGCGCCCCUUGGUAUUCCAUGGGGCAUGCCUGUUCGAGCGUCAUUUGUACCCUCAAGCUUUGCUUGGUGUUGGGCGUCUUUGUCCCGCGUUUGCGCGUGGACUCGCCUGAAAGCGAUUGGCAGCCGGCAUAUUGGCCUGGGAGCACAGCACAUUUUGCGCUUCUAGUCAUGCGUGUUGGCAUCCAGUAAGCAACCAUUUUUUUUUGCUCUUGACCUCGGAUCAGGUAGGGAUACCCGCUGAACUUAAGC